GUUCGUUAUAGCCUUCAUCUUAUUAUAUUAAAGGUUACUCCCUUGUUCGUUAUGGCCUUCAUCUUAUUAUAUUAAAGGUUACUCCCUUGUUCGUUAUAGCCUUCAUCUUAUUAUAUUAAAGGUUACUCCCUUGUUCGUUAUAGCCUUCAUCUUAUUAUAUUAAAGGUUACUCCCUUGUUCGUUAUAGCCUUCAUCUUAUUAUAUUAAAGGUUACUCCCUUGUUCGUUAUGGCCUUCAUCUUAUUAUAUUAAAGGUUACUCCCUUGUUCGUUAUAGCCUUCAUCUUAUUAUAUUAAAGGUUACUCCCUGUUUUGUUCUUCGCUCAUUUUCCGUUUUUUCCACUGCAAGUGUGCAUAUUUAUUUAUUUAUUUAUUUAUUUUCAUUUGUUUAUUUAAUGUUAUUUGUAGUAGAUAACUGAGGGGGGCACUACCCUGGCCUCCUCUUCCUCUGAUUCUCUUACUUCACACAUUUAUCUUAAUACUUCACACUAUUGUCCAUAUGCUUAAUUUUUAUUUUUUUAUUCAUGACUUUUUAUCCAUAGCUCACACUUUUCUUAGUAUUUCACAUUUUUUCUAGAUCAUACUCUACACUUCCUACCUGGGGGACGCGGGUUAGGCCUUUAUAAUGUCACUCUAUGGCUGCAUGUCCGCCGCGGCACACCACCACCCUGUGAGGCGUAGAGCCCCGUGUUCCCCUCCAUCCUGGGGUAACAAUCCUAAAACAAACAAACCUGAGAGGCGGGACGCUGCCGCUGCCUGUCACCUGACACCCUCUCACUGAUGAAUGGAUCGCGGCGCGGGUGGAGAGAGACUGCCCAUCCCUUUCCACUCCGCCCGGGAAGGAACUCAUGAAUUCUCGGUUGAGUCGCGUGUGCUACCCAUUGCACUACAGAACAACAGUGGUUGGCCAGAGUUUCCAUUACCAUAUCGUCAAAGUCCAUGUCCUCCGGAAGAACCAUUAAUUAUAUAAUUAAAUCGUCACUAUUAUUUCCGCCACUUAAAACGAGCAAAGCUUAAUGAAAAUAAGAGGCGUUUUCUCGUCAGAGUAAAUUAAACAAAAGCACUGUAAGCACAUGUCCCUAUUUAUCCCUAUACCGCUGCCGCCAGUUUUGGACCCUUCUUUUCUUGUAUUAAAUCAACUCUAUUAUCACUCAUUAAUUACUCCAUAAAUGAUCUCACCGUCUCGUAUCCCUGGUAGCGUGAUCCGGCUUAAGUUGUUAUUGGAGACUGGUGUUCGGGGAUAAACAAGGGAAAAAGAAAAUAUACAUUUAUUUAAAAUUAAAUGAAAGUAAUUGCCUUACGCAAUAUUCUAUGCUCAGACGAUCAUAACCCUGGCAUAUUCAGCAAUGGAUACAACAUAUGACAAACGACAUGUCUUUAAACAUAAUACUACAAUUUGUGCUCAGUUGUUGCCAAUAAUAAUAACACUCGUCAUUCCACAAGCAGUGGUUUGUUUCUCUCUGCUUACAUCACAAUAUUUAAAUACUCUCCUCACAUCCUGAUAACACAUUCCUAUAGUAUAAUCUACUACAAUUUCACGGAAGCACCAAAUUAUACCACACCCAGUGCUUUCUACCUUUGCUUUACAUCGCAAACAAAUAAUCACAAUCCUGUCCCACUCACAAUCCUACUUCACAUCUCCUACAUUAUAAUCUCCAGGACAAUACAGUCGGUUUCCCUUAGAUUCUCGAAUUUCUACUCACGAUUAAGAUCACAACAGCCAUUCUCAGCUGAGUGAGUAGCAAGUCUGCUUGAAGCGAGUGCAAGGCUCGGUCUGCCCAUAUCACUGUUGUCUAGGUCACAUUUUUCCUUGCUUGAGGCGGAACUACAUCUUUGACACGCCUUCAUUUUCUACAUAACCAGUAGCCAAUACUUCCUGUCAACAACCAUUGGCUCGCUCAUUAUGUUAUAUUGUUUACUUCUCCUACUAUUUGUUAUUUCCCUCUUAAGACACUCCCACAGUGACUUCUCUUUUCAGUUAUUCGCUUAUAGCAUUUCGUCACACCGCACGUGACAUGUUAGAGUCCUCUUGAAUGGUUAUCCACACUUCCUGACCACGCCUACUGGGUAUCUGCUUUCUGUAUGUGGGUCUGGGUAUUUUCCAUAACCUCUCAGUAGUGUUAGUGCUUAUCAGAUGUUUACAACUUUGUAUAUCUGACUAAUUUCUUUCCUUCCCUCUCCUAUCAUAUUUACAAUUCUUGUC
This is a long non-coding RNA of Eriocheir sinensis (Chinese mitten crab), 2201 nucleotides long. RefSeq lists it as uncharacterized. The transcript has 3 exons. The record is from RefSeq and is a predicted model, not a curated record. Lineage: Eukaryota; Metazoa; Arthropoda; Malacostraca; Decapoda; Varunidae.